AUACGGAGGGUGCAAGCGUUGUUCGGAUUUAUUGGGCGUAAAGCGCGUGUAGGCGGUCUCUUAAGUCUGAUGUGAAAGCCCUGGGCUCAACCCAGGAAGUGCAUUGGAUACUGGGAGACUUGAAUACGGGAGAGGGUAGUGGAAUUCCUAGUGUAGGAGUGAAAUCCGUAGAUAUUAGGAGGAACACCGGUGGCGAAGGCGGCUACCUGGACCGAUAUUGACGCUGAGACGCGAAAGCGUGGGGAGCAAACAGGA
Molecule: ribosomal RNA, 255 nt
Filed under: uncultured prokaryote
Description: partial 16S ribosomal RNA
Rfam family: Bacterial small subunit ribosomal RNA
Source: RNAcentral